AAAUGAAAAGUGCUAUAUAAAAAAAAAAUAAUAAAAAGUAAAUUUCAUAAUAAAAAAAAAAAAAAAAAAAAAUGCAUCAUGUUAUUUUUAAAUUUAAUUUUGUACACAAGAAAAGACAUUUAUUAAAAAAUGCAAAAUGUUUUAUAUUUUUAAAUAAAACGAAUAUAAUAACAACGAAUGUAAUAAAUAAAAAAAAUAGUAGUUUACACUGGGAAAAUAAUAGCUUGCACUCAGAAAACAAUAGCUUGCAAGUAGAAGCUAGGAAAAAAGAAGAAGAUGAUAAAUUAAUUUUACAUAAAUCUAGCUAUAUAAUAAAUAGUUGUAAAAUAAAUGAAAUAAUAGAUAUUUUAAAUUUAUGUAUUAAAUUGAAAUAUAAUGAUAAUGAACUAUUAAAAAAUAUUUCUUUAAAUUUAUUAAUGAAUAAAGAUAAUUUAAGAUAUACUGAUAUUACGGUUCUUGUAAAAAAAUUUUCAAUAAUUAAAUGCAAAAAUUAUUUUUUAUUUUGUUAUUUUAAAGAUGUAUUGUUAGAUAAUGUGCACUUACUUAGUUAUGAUGAAUUAAUAGAUGUUUAUUUUUCUUUUACUAAUUUAAAUUAUUUUCAUUACAACUUUUUUUUUUUAAUUGAAAAAAAAAUAUUUCAUAAUUUUCAUAAACUAGAUUUAAAAAAAUUAAUAUAUUUAGUCCAAUGUUUUAAUAAAAAAAAAAUAAUAACAAAAAAUUGUUUAACCAUAUUAUUAUAUAGUAUAUCUAAAAAUAUAAAUAAUUUAAAUACAUUCCAACUUUCUGUUGUUUUUCGUUUUUUUAAAAAUUUUAAUAUAAAUAAUAGUAUACUCAUAAAUUCGUUAAUUCACAAUUUUAAGCAGAACAUUAGUUUGAAUGAAGAUGUAAAAAACAUCCCACUUUUUUAUACUUUUUUAUCAUAUGUAUAUACAAAAUGUAAAAAAAAUUAUGCGUAUUAUGAAAAAGAGAAGGAAUUAAUUAAAUUAUUAAAACAUUUUAGAUUGUUCGAUGAGGAACAAUAUAGGGGAGUAGCACAUGAUAAGGGAUGCCAUAAUACAGGGGAACAGAAUUUGAAUGGUUCUUUUUUUAACGUGAGUAAUGAGAUUGUAAAAAAAGAAGUAACAGAAAAUGAUGACACUAGAGAAAAAAUAUUAAUAGAAAAAACAGAUUCAUUAGUAAAAACUGAAUUGGGUAGCAUUGAUAAUGACAACUGUAAUGAUAAUAGUAAUUACAUAAAAAACAAACUGAUUCGAUUUGAAAAUAGUUGUUUAUAUAAAAGUGCUGAAUUAGAAAACUUAAAGGAACAAACUAAUAUGUUAAAAAAAGAUGGAUUAAAUUUUAAUUUAAUUUAUUCAAUCAAUAAUAUAUGUAAAAAUAUGGAAAUGAUCACAAAAAAACAAUUAAAACAUAUGUCCAUCGAAUAUUUAUGUUUAUUAUCAUGUUGUAUAUCCAAUAUUAGUAAAAACAAGUUUCUUUUAGAAAAAAUAGCUGAGGAAGUAGGUAAGCAAUCAACUAAAUUAACAUCUUCAUUAAUAAGUUUUUUAUUACUAUCUUUUAGUAAAGCUAAUCAUAAGCAUGGUAGUUUGAUUUAUUAUUCUUUACAAUUUUUUUAUAAAUAUUAUAAUUUUUUUAGUAUAAAUGAAGUAGGUUUAUUAUGUAAGGGGUUAUCUAACUUUGCUAUGAAAGAAAACGAAUUAAUUAAUGUGUUGAAUGAGUAUAUUUUGAGGAAUAUAGAUACUUUUUAUGCAUGUAAUGUGUAUGAACAAGGAGAAAAAGUGCGGGACAGUAGUAGUAAUAGUAGUAGUAAUGAAAAAGAUGAGGGUUACUCGAGUGCAAAGUGUUUAAAUUUAUUUGAUGGUACAAGUAAUAAAGAACAAAUAGCAAACGCAUAUGACCUAAUAGAAAAAAAAAUUGGUAAGAAUAUGGAACGACGCAAUUAUGAAGAUACUUUUGUAAAUGCAAAUAGAAUAUAUAUAGAUAAAGAAAAUGAAGAGAAUGAAUAUAAUAAGAAGGAUAGUAAAGAUAGUAAAAAUAAUGUGACAUCUUAUUAUAAUAAAUAUAUGAAUUUUAGUUAUAUUGAUUACGAAAGUAUAAAAAAUAAUAUGUAUUCCACCAAUAAUUUAUAUAACAUAAAAGCAAAUAAAUCUAUAUAUAUAAAUAAUAUUAUAUACAUAUUAGAAUAUUAUGCUUUUAAUAUGGUAAGUGUAAAUACAAUUUUAGAUUGCUUUUGUACUAUUUUUUUAAAAAGUAAUUUAAAUUAUAUUUUAUAUUCAAGAAUAUUUCAUUCCUUUUAUUUAUUACAAUAUAAAAAAAAAAAAGUUUAUGAAUUAAUUCGAAAAUUUAAUAAAUAUCAACCUUUAAAUCAAGUAAUGUACAAAGAAAAACAUAUAAUAAAUUUACUGCAAUCAUUGUUGUACUUUUAUGAAAGCAAUAAAGAAGAAGUUGGUAAAAUGGGCAGUAAUGGUAGUGGUAGUGGUAGUGGUAGUAGUAGUAGUAGUAGUGGUAGUGAUAGUAGUAGUAGUAACAACCAUGGCAACAACAGUUUUGAUAUUUAUUUUUAUGUUUUGCCAAAAAACUAUUUAUCUUUCCUUUUUAAUUUUCCUAAAUAUUAUUUAACUUUUCUCUUCAUUAAAAAUAAUAAUUAUGUUUUAAGCGACUUUUUAAUAAAUAUACGAGAUAUAUCGUUAGAUCAUACCGAAUAUAUUUAUCUGCACAAGCCGCACAAUCUAUUAUAUUAAAAAAAAAGUGCACACAUGUAUACUUGCAGGUUUGUGUGUAUAUGUUGAGUACCGAGUUCUUAUCGUUUCAAAAAUGUUACAUAUGAAUGUAUAUUAUAUAUAUAUUAAAAAAAAAAUGGGCAUUUUUUAUAAAAAAAAAAAAAAAAAAAA
Molecule: long non-coding RNA, 2888 nt
Filed under: Piliocolobus tephrosceles (Ugandan red Colobus)
Lineage: Eukaryota; Metazoa; Chordata; Mammalia; Primates; Cercopithecidae
Description: lncRNA (ENSPTEG00000008664.1)
Source: RNAcentral